This 203-nucleotide unclassified non-coding RNA is filed under the name Hevea brasiliensis (rubber tree). Lineage: Eukaryota; Viridiplantae; Streptophyta; Magnoliopsida; Malpighiales; Euphorbiaceae. The record is from RNAcentral.
CAACUGGACGAUCAGAAAAAAAUCAAACCGGUCCAGUUUCGUCCAGCGCGUUUUCAUGAAUUUGAACGCGCCGAGAGCCAUGGCUGGUACAAGGAAGGCGCCGGCCAUGGCCAGGUGAACCGGGUGCCAGGGUGAUCCGCCAUCGCUGCCAUCGGCAAUCAGGCGGAGAACAUGCGCGGGAAAAGAUGCAAUUCCCAGCAUGA